AAUAUUGCACAAUGGGCGCAAGCCUGAUGCAGCCAUGCCGCGUGUAUGAAGAAGGCCUUCGGGUUGUAAAGUACUUUCAGCAGUGAGGAAGGUGGUGUCGUUAAUAGCGGCAUCAUUUGACGUUAGCUGCAGAAGAAGCACCGGCUAACUCCGUGCCAGCAGCCGCGGUAAUACGGAGGGUGCGAGCGUUAAUCGGAAUUACUGGGCGUAAAGCGCAUGCAGGUGGUUUGUUAAGUCAGAUGUGAAAGCCCGGGGCUCAACCUCGGAAUUGCAUUUGAAACUGGCAGACUAGAGUACUGUAGAGGGGGUAGAAUUUCAGGUGUAGCGGUGAAAAUGCGUAGAGAUCUGAAGGAAUACCGGUGGCGAAGGCGGCCCCCUGGACAGAUACUGACACUCAGAUGCGAAAGCGUGGGGAGCAAACAGGAUUAGAUACCCUGGUAG
RNAcentral lists this ribosomal RNA (441 nucleotides) under uncultured bacterium. RNAcentral describes it as "bacterial SSU rRNA". It matches the Rfam family "Bacterial small subunit ribosomal RNA", at positions 360 to 793 of the family's 1533-position model. The record is from RNAcentral.